RNAcentral lists this ribosomal RNA (515 nucleotides) under uncultured bacterium. RNAcentral's name for it is "partial 16S ribosomal RNA". It matches the Rfam family "Bacterial small subunit ribosomal RNA", at positions 28 to 523 of the family's 1533-position model. The record is from RNAcentral.
GAUGAACGCUGGCGGCGUGCCUAAUACAUGCAAGUCGAGCGAAUGGAUUAAGAGCUUGCUCUUAUGAAGUUAGCGGCGGACGGGUGAGUAACACGUGGGUAACCUGCCCAUAAGACUGGGAUAACUCCGGGAAACCGGGGCUAAUACCGGAUAACAUUUUGAACCGCAUGGUUCGAAAUUGAAAGGCGGCUUCGGCUGUCACUUAUGGAUGGACCCGCGUCGCAUUAGCUAGUUGGUGAGGUAACGGCUAACCAAGGCAACGAUGCGUAGCCGACCGGAGAGGGUGAUCGUCCACACUGGGGCUCAGACGCGGCCCAGACUCCUACGGGAGGCAGCAGUAGGGAAUCUUCCGCAAUGGACGAAGUUCUGACGGAGCAACGCCGCGUGAGUGAUGAAGGCUUUCGGGUCGUAAAACUCUGUUGUUAGGGAAGAACAAGUGCUAGUUGAAUAAGCUGGCACCUUGACGGUACCUAGCCAGAAAGCCACGGCUAACUACGUGCCAGCCGCCGCCGUAA